UACGUAGGGUGCAAGCGUUAAUCGGAAUUACUGGGCGUAAAGCGUGCGCAGGCGGUUUUGUAAGUCUGAUGUGAAAUCCCCGGGCUCAACCUGGGAACUGCAUUGGAGACUGCAAGGCUAGAGUGUGUCAGAGGGGGGUAGAAUUCCACGUGUAGCAGUGAAAUGCGUAGAGAUGUGGAGGAAUACCGAUGGCGAAGGCAGCCCCCUGGGAUAACACUGACGCUCAUGCACGAAAGCGUGGGGAGCAAACAGGAUUAGAUACCCUGGUAGUCCACGCCCUAAACGAUGUCUACUAGUUGUCGGGACUUAAUUGUCUUGGUAACGCAGCUAACGCGUGAAGUAGACCGCCUGGGGAGUACGGUCGCAAGAUUAAAACUCAAAGGAAUUGACGGGGACCCGCACAAGCGGUGGAUGAUGUGGAUUAAUUCGAUGCAACGCGAAAAACCUUACCUACCCUUGACAUGGCAGGAAUCCCGAAGAGAUUUGGGAGUGCUCGCAAGAGAACCUGCACACAGGUGCUGCAUGGCU
This 528-nucleotide ribosomal RNA is filed under the name uncultured bacterium. Its description in RNAcentral is "bacterial SSU rRNA". It matches the Rfam family "Bacterial small subunit ribosomal RNA", at positions 524 to 1050 of the family's 1533-position model. The record is from RNAcentral.